AGAUUAAACUGAAGAGUUUGAUCCUGGCUCAGAUUGAACGCUGGCGGCAUGCCUUACACAUGCAAGUCGAACGGCAGCGCGGGGCAACCUGGCGGCGAGUG
This 101-nucleotide ribosomal RNA is filed under the name Rugamonas rivuli. Its description in RNAcentral is "partial 16S ribosomal RNA". It matches the Rfam family "Bacterial small subunit ribosomal RNA", at positions 1 to 97 of the family's 1533-position model. RNAcentral also lists the same sequence under 1 other name. The record is from RNAcentral. Lineage: Bacteria; Pseudomonadati; Pseudomonadota; Betaproteobacteria; Burkholderiales; Oxalobacteraceae.